GAGGAAGUGGCUGAGUUAAGGUGAUAAAUUGUAAAUUUAUUUAUGGGUGUAGACCCCUUCCUCA
Molecule: transfer RNA, 64 nt
Filed under: Teloganodidae sp. MT-2014
Lineage: Eukaryota; Metazoa; Arthropoda; Insecta; Ephemeroptera; Teloganodidae
Description: tRNA-Tyr
Rfam family: tRNA
About the family: Transfer RNA (tRNA) molecules are approximately 80 nucleotides in length. Their secondary structure includes four short double-helical elements and three loops (D, anti-codon, and T loops).
Source: RNAcentral